GACGAACGCUGGCGGCGUGCCUAAUACAUGCAAGUAGAACGCACAGUUUAUACCGUAGCUUGCUACACCAUAGACUGUGAGUUGCGAACGGGUGAGUAACGCGUAGGUAACCUGCCUGGUAGCGGGGGAUAACUAUUGGAAACGAUAGCUAAUACCACAUAAUAUUAAUUAUUGCAUGAUAAUUAAUUGAAAGGUGCAAUUGCACCACUACCAGAUGGACCUGCGUUGUAUUAGCUAGUAGGUGAGGUAACGGCUCACCUAGGCGACGAUACAUAGCCGACCUGAGAGGGUGAUCGGCCACACUGGGACUGAGACACGGCCCAGACUCCUACGGGAGGCAGCAGUAGGGAAUCUUCGGCAAUGGACGAAAGUCUGACCGAGCAACGCCGCGUGAGUGAAGAAGGUUUUCGGAUCGUAAAGCUCUGUUGUAAGAGAAGAACGGGUGUGAGAGUGGAAAGUUCACACUGUGACGGUAUCUGACCAGAAAGGGACGGCUAACUACGUG
RNAcentral lists this ribosomal RNA (505 nucleotides) under uncultured bacterium. RNAcentral's name for it is "partial 16S ribosomal RNA". It matches the Rfam family "Bacterial small subunit ribosomal RNA", at positions 28 to 507 of the family's 1533-position model. The record is from RNAcentral.